GAGAGAACGUACUAAUUGAGAUUGAGAUGAAGAGACGAGAGGUGACGCUGACAUUGAUCGGUCGAGUAAAGAAAAAUAACUUUGACUUUAAGAUUGUAAAAGUAAAUGUAAUUUGUUCUGAGGUGCUACAUUGGCGAAAUCUUUUCCAUUUACAUCUCUGAGAUUGACUUGGAUUAUAUUUGCGUUUGUGAGUUUGAGACCAAACGGAUUUGGACAGGUUUUUUUCCCUUUGAAGACAUCUGAAAUUUGAUUUCAACAAGAUGGCGAGCCACCCAACAAACCACCGAGGAGAACAGAGACUGUUGCUAUAUAUCAGCGACCUGUAAAGGAAAGCAAAUUCACCUGGGUAUUCUCCAUCCUGGUAGGACUGUAAAGACUGCUAUAUUUUCCUUCCUGCAGACAGCAGUUGGACUGAGUGACUGACUGUAACCAGAAUUGUGCGUACAGAAUUGUGAAACCAACUUUGAGAAUUUUGUAACUUUUGUGCAUUUUCUUAUUUAUUUUUUAUUUUUUCCCUUCUUGAAUGUUGAGUUUGGUUAUCUAUCAUUUGUGUUAGAACAAAGAAAAAGGUUACUUUGAAGCAGUCUAAAUAAUAGUGCAUAACAGAAACCACUGAAUAAGAAAAGAACCAAACUUAAAUUGAUUAGGCCUAAAAGCGAACAUAAACUUUAUUAGAUCUGAACUAAAUAGGAUAAAACAACUAGGUGAACAAAACUAGUUAAAUUAGCGCGUUAUAGAAGGAAACCUAUAGGAAAAAAAGGUAAACAUUCAUUUGAUAUAUUGCUUUAUUUUUAUAUUGUUUUCCCUUAUACUGUGGAUGGUAAUGUAUUUAUUUUCUUUGUAUUGUGUGUGAAGUGAGGUUUAUGAGUGCACUGUUUGUCAAUAUAAGCCGGCAGUUAUUCAAACACA
Molecule: long non-coding RNA, 909 nt
Organism: Carassius auratus (goldfish)
Lineage: Eukaryota; Metazoa; Chordata; Actinopteri; Cypriniformes; Cyprinidae
Exons: 2
Source: RefSeq, a predicted model, not a curated record